This is a microRNA precursor of Monodelphis domestica (gray short-tailed opossum), 57 nucleotides long. Ensembl annotates it as mdo-mir-208b. Its record names the gene mdo-mir-208b. Lineage: Eukaryota; Metazoa; Chordata; Mammalia; Didelphimorphia; Didelphidae. The record is from Ensembl.
AAGCUUUUUGCUCGGGUUAUGUUUUGGAUCUGAAUAUAAGACGAACAAAAGGUUUGU